This 459-nucleotide ribosomal RNA is filed under the name uncultured bacterium. RNAcentral's name for it is "partial 16S ribosomal RNA". It matches the Rfam family "Bacterial small subunit ribosomal RNA", at positions 338 to 795 of the family's 1533-position model. The record is from RNAcentral.
CCUACGGGAGGCAGCAGUGAGGAAUAUUGGUCAAUGGGCGCGAUCCUGAACCAGCCAAGCCGCGUGAGGGAAGAAGGUCCUAUGGAUUGUAAACCUCUUUUAUAGGGGAACAAAGCCCGGGACGUGUCCCCUUCUGCAUGUAUCCUAUGAAAAAGCAUCGGCUAACUCCGUGCCAGCAGCCGCGGUAAUACGGAGGAUGCGAGCGUUAUCCGGAUUUAUUGGGUUUAAGGGGUGCGUAGGCGGUCCUUUAAGUCAGCGGUAAAAUUGCUGGGCUCAACCCAGUAGAGCCGUUGAAACUGGGAGACUUGAGUGGGUGAGAGGCAAGCGGAAUGCGCGGUGUAGCGGUGAAAUGCAUAGAUAUCGCGCAGAACCCCGAUUGCGAAGGCAGCGUGCCGGGGCAAGACUGACGCUGAGGCACGAAAGCGUGGGGAUCGAACAGGAUUAGAUACCCGUGUAGUC